Molecule: ribosomal RNA, 379 nt
Filed under: Klebsiella pneumoniae
Lineage: Bacteria; Pseudomonadati; Pseudomonadota; Gammaproteobacteria; Enterobacterales; Enterobacteriaceae
Also listed under: 1 other name
Description: partial 23S ribosomal RNA
Rfam family: Bacterial large subunit ribosomal RNA
Source: RNAcentral
UGUUUCGGCUAGGGGGUCAUCCCGACUUACCAACCCGAUGCAAACUACGAAUACCGAAGAAUGUUAUCACGGGAGACACACGGCGGGUGCUAACGUCCGUCGUGAAGAGGGAAACAACCCAGACCGCCAGCUAAGGUCCCAAAGUCAUGGUUAAGUGGGAAACGAUGUGGGAAGGCACAGACAGCCAGGAUGUUGGCUUAGAAGCAGCCAUCAUUUAAAGAAAGCGUAAUAGCUCACUGGUCGAGUCGGCCUGCGCGGAAGAUGUAACGGGGCUAAACCAUGCACCGAAGCUGCGGCAGCGACACUAUGUGUUGUUGGGUAGGGGAGCGUUCUGUAAGCCUGCGAAGGUGACCUGUGAGGGUUGCUGGAGGUAUCAGAA